GAAGCAGGUGAUGACACCAAGACAGGGACAUCAGAACCAUGUAAUGGUUAUGAUAGACCAAGUCUAUAAUGGGAAGCUCUCUGAUGUUUU
Triticum aestivum (bread wheat) is the source of this 90-nucleotide non-coding RNA. Lineage: Eukaryota; Viridiplantae; Streptophyta; Magnoliopsida; Poales; Poaceae. The record is from Rfam.